Molecule: ribosomal RNA, 254 nt
Filed under: uncultured microorganism
Description: partial 16S ribosomal RNA
Rfam family: Archaeal small subunit ribosomal RNA
Source: RNAcentral
CACCGGCGGCUCGAGUGGUGGCCACUUUUAUUGGGUCUAAAGCGUCCGUAGCCGGCUUGGCAAGUCCCCUGGGAAAUCUGGCGGCUUAACCGUCAGGCGUCCAGAGGAUACUGCCAGGCUUGGGACCGGGAGAGGUGAGAGGUACCUCAGGGGUAGGGGUGAAAUCUUGUGAUCCCUGAGGGACCACCAGUGGCGAAGGCGUCUCACUAGAACGGGUCCGACGGUCAGGGACGAAAGCUGGGGGCGCGAACCGG